RNAcentral lists this ribosomal RNA (253 nucleotides) under uncultured bacterium. RNAcentral's name for it is "partial 16S ribosomal RNA". It matches the Rfam family "Bacterial small subunit ribosomal RNA", at positions 524 to 776 of the family's 1533-position model. The record is from RNAcentral.
UACGGGGGGGGCAAGCGUUGUUCGGAAUUACUGGGCGUAAAGCGCGCGCAGGCGGCUAUCCAAGUCAGUGGUGAAAGCCCGGAGCUCAACUCCGGAACUGCCAUUGAAACUGUUUAGCUUGAGGAUGAGAGAGGUGAGUGGAAUUCCCAGUGUAGAGGUGAAAUUCGUAGAUAUUGGGAAGAACACCGGUGGCGAAGGCGGCUCACUGGCUCAUUACUGACGCUCAGGCGCGAUAGCGUGGGGAUCAAACAGG